GCAUAUCAAUAAGCGGAGGAAAAGAAACCAACAGGGAUUGCCCUAGUAACGGCGAGUGAAGCGGCAACAGCUCAAAUUUGAAAUCUGGCCUCCUUCGGUGGUCCGAGUUGUAAUUUGCAGAGGGUGCUUUGGCGUCGGCAGCGGUCUAAGUUCCUUGGAACAGGACAUCACAGAGGGUGAGAAUCCCGUACGUGGUCGCCUGCCUUCGCCGUGUAAAGCCCCUUCGACGAGUCGAGUUGUUUGGGAAUGCAGCUCUAAAUGGGAGGUAAAUUUCUUCUAAAGCUAAAUACCGGCCAGAGACCGAUAGCGCACAAGUAGAGUGAUCGAAAGAUGAAAAGCACUUUGGAAAGAGAGUCAAACAGCACGUGAAAUUGUUGAAAGGGAAGCGCUUGCAGCCAGACUUGCCCGUAGUUGCUCAUCGGAACUUUUGCUCCGAGCACUCUUCUGCGGGCAGGCCAGCAUCAGUUUGGGCGACCGGAUAAAGGCCUCUGUCAUGUAUCUUCCUUCGGGAUGACCUUAUAGGGGAGGCGUAAUGCGGCCAGCCCGGACUGAGGUCCGCGCAUCUGCUAGGAUGCUGGCGUAAUGGCUGUAAGCGGCCCGUCUUGAAACACGGACCAAGGAGUCUAACAUCUAUGCGAGUGUUUGGGUGUCAAGCCCGGGCGCGUAAUGAAAGUGAACGGAGGUGGGAACCCUCUUGCGGGGGUGCACCAUCGACCGAUCCUGAUGUCUUCGGAUGGAUUUGAGUAAGAGCAUAGCUGUUGGGACCCGAAAGAUGGUGAACUAUGCUUGAAUAGGGUGAAGCCAGAGGAAACUCUGGUGGAGGCUCGCAGCGGUUCUGACGUGCAAAUCGAUCGUCAAAUUUGGGCAUAGGGGCGAAAGACUAAUCGAACUAUCUAGUA
Molecule: ribosomal RNA, 899 nt
Filed under: Halobyssothecium aquifusiforme
Lineage: Eukaryota; Fungi; Ascomycota; Dothideomycetes; Pleosporales; Lentitheciaceae
Description: Halobyssothecium JY-2022a partial large subunit ribosomal RNA
Rfam family: Eukaryotic large subunit ribosomal RNA
Source: RNAcentral